CGGCGAGCGAAGCGGGAAGAGCUCAAAUUUAUAAUCUGGCACCUUCGGUGUCCGAGUUGUAAUCUCUAGAAGUGUUUUCCGCGUUGGACCGCACACAAGUCUGUUGGAAUACAGCGGCAUAGUGGUGAGACCCCCGUAUAUGGUGCGGACGCCCAACGCUUUGUGAUACACUUUCGAAGAGUCGAGUUGUUUGGGAAUGCAGCUCAAAUUGGGUGGUAAAUUCCAUCUAAAGCUAAAUAUUGGCGAGAGACCGAUAGCGAACAAGUACCGUGAGGGAAAGAUGAAAAGCACUUUGGAAAGAGAGUUAACAGUACGUGAAAUUGUUGGAAGGGAAACGCUUGAAGUCAGACUUGCUUGCCGAGCAAUCGGUUUGCAGGCCAGCAUCAGUUUUCCGGGGUGGAUAAUGGUAGAGAGAAGGUAGCAGUUUCGGCUGUGUUAUAGCUCUUUGCUGGAUACACCUUGGGGGACUGAGGAACGCAGUGUGCCUUACGGCGGAUUUCUCGAGAUC
RNAcentral lists this ribosomal RNA (508 nucleotides) under Rhodotorula taiwanensis. RNAcentral describes it as "LSU rRNA". It matches the Rfam family "Eukaryotic large subunit ribosomal RNA", at positions 87 to 593 of the family's 3401-position model. The record is from RNAcentral. Lineage: Eukaryota; Fungi; Basidiomycota; Microbotryomycetes; Sporidiobolales; Sporidiobolaceae.